RNAcentral lists this long non-coding RNA (311 nucleotides) under Lepisosteus oculatus (spotted gar). Its description in RNAcentral is "lncRNA (ENSLOCG00000021464.1)". Lineage: Eukaryota; Metazoa; Chordata; Actinopteri; Semionotiformes; Lepisosteidae. The record is from RNAcentral.
UGACGUACCCCCGCCCUUGAAGCAGCUCUUUUACGCUCUGCUCGCCAGGCCUGCAGUGAACUCUGGGAAAAGGGGCAGUAUGCCAAGAAUGCCAUCAGUCCUUCACAUCGAUCAGAGCCCUGGAAGCCAGGAACAGGGGGAGACAUCAGAAGCAAGGAGAGGCUGAUUGCUACAGCUUCAGCGGGAAAGAAGAAUGAAUAUCUUGCAUCACAAUGACUGUGAUACAGCUGCAUUCAUCAGUCUGACAUUCCUGCCUUCUUAUAAUCAGAGACUCUGAUUAAACAAUCUAAUGUGCAUCCUUGAAGUGUUUC